This 156-nucleotide ribosomal RNA is filed under the name Tylospora sp. R29. Its description in RNAcentral is "5.8S ribosomal RNA". It matches the Rfam family "5.8S ribosomal RNA". From Rfam's summary of the family: 5.8S ribosomal RNA (5.8S rRNA) is a component of the large subunit of the eukaryotic ribosome. Lineage: Eukaryota; Fungi; Basidiomycota; Agaricomycetes; Atheliales; Atheliaceae. The record is from RNAcentral.
AACUUUCAACAACGGAUCUCUUGGCUCUCGCAUCGAUGAAGAACGCAGCGAAAUGCGAUAAGUAAUGUGAAUUGCAGAUUUUCAGUGAAUCAUCGAAUCUUUGAACGCACCUUGACGCCCCUUGGUAUUCCGAGGGGCAUGCCUGUUUGAGUGUCA